RNAcentral lists this ribosomal RNA (615 nucleotides) under Macrolycus atronotatus. RNAcentral's name for it is "partial 16S large subunit ribosomal RNA". It matches the Rfam family "Bacterial large subunit ribosomal RNA", at positions 1804 to 2716 of the family's 2925-position model. Lineage: Eukaryota; Metazoa; Arthropoda; Insecta; Coleoptera; Lycidae. The record is from RNAcentral.
UUAACAAAAACAUGUCCUUUUGAUUUUUAUUUAAGGUCUAAUCUGCUCAAUGAUAUUUAAAUUGCCGCAGUAUUUUAACUGUGCGAAGGUAGCAUAAUAAUUAGUUUCUUGAUUAGAAGCUGGAAUGAAUGAUUGGACGAAAAAAUUUCUGUCUCAUUUUAAUGUAUUGUUGAAUUUUAUUUUUAAGUUAAAAAGCUUAAAUUUGUAUGAAAGACGAGAAGACCCUAUAGAGUUUAAUAUUAAAAUUUCACUAAUUUUUAGAAAUACUUUUUAUAUUUUAAUAUUUAGUUGGGGUGACUUGGAGAUUUACUUAAUUCUUUGAAUUUUUAAUUGAUGAUACUUAAUUUUUUAAUCUAUAAAUUGUAAAUUUAAAAUAAAUUACCUUAGGGAUAACAGCGUAAUUUUUCUUUAAAGUUCUUAUUUCAAGAAGAUUUUGCGACCUCGAUGUUGGAUUAAAAUAAAUUUUAGGUGCAGCCACUUAAAAAUUAGGUCUGUUCGACCUUUAAAAUUUUACAUGAUCUGAGUUUAAACCGGUGUAAGCCAGGUUGGAUUCUAUCUUUAGUAAAUUAAUAUAUUUUAGUACGAAAGGACCAAAUAUUUAUUAAAUAUUAAUUG